GUGUGUGUGUGUGUGUGUGUGUGUGUGUGUGUGUCUGUGUGUGUGUGUGUGUGUGUGUGUGUCUGUGUGUGUGUGUGUGUGUGUGUGUGUGUGUGUGUGUGUGUGUGUGUGUGUGUGUGUGUGUGUGUGUGUGUGUGUGUGUGUGUGUGUGUGUGUGUGUGUGUGUGUCUGUGUCUGUGUGUGUGUGUGUGUGUGUCUGUGUGUGUGUGUGUGUGUGUGUGUGUGUGUGUGUGUGUGUGUGUGUGUGUGUGUGUGUGUGUGUGUGUGUGUGUGUGUGUGUGUGUGUGUGUGUGUGUGUGUGUCUGUGUGUGUGUGUGUGUGUGUGUGUGUGUGUGUGUGUGUGUGUGUGUGUGUGUGUGUGUGUGUGUGUGUCUGUGUGUGUGUGUGUGUGUGUGUGUGUGUGUGUGUGUGUGUGUGUGUGUGUGUGUGUGUGUGUGUGUGUGUGUGUGUGUCCUACUGCUGCUGUUUCAUAAUCACUACAGGGUUGAAUACAUUUGACCGUCAUGUUUGGACACAAAAAAGUAACAGCUAAGUCUUGUACAUAAUGUUGUAAACCACAAAACCUUGUCUGUGAUUAUUUUGCUGGUAGAGUCGCAAUAUUGGUAAGAUAGAGCUGAAACAUCUAGUUGAGUCCUACUCUAGUAUUAUGAUACCAUAUGUGUAUUAAUUCUACAGCAGGCCUCAUAGGUGUAAACUCCAUAGGUGUGGUAAUUGCUCCACCUUUAAGCAGGCGUAAAUGGAACUCAAUUCCCCUUUAAUGUAUUUUUUUCUCGAUGCGUAUUCUGACCGUGAACUUAAGCAUGAGAAUAGCAUGAUAUUCACCUGCUAUUUGUUUAGGGUAGACAUCAAUGAAAUGAAGGUGUGGCGGAGGUAGGUUUACAGAUACACAGUAUUCUGGCUUAGACUUAAUUCCACCACCUUUACGUUGCAAGGAAAGGUCGAGCAAACCUUUCAGUUCCAAGUGGGAAAAGCAUCGACUUAAUUUCCCUGAUAGAAAUAACAGCAUUCUCCAUGCACAUGACGUAUUGUGGCCCCUUUUCCGCAGUGAAGUAGGUUAUAAAGAGCUGUGCCAUUAUUCAGAAUGUUAGUCGAAUGCCCUCAUAAUUAUGCGUGGAUGAAAUGGAGAUCCAAGCUACACGCUUCUGUAGGGCAAACUUGUGAAUGUUUUAGUUAUAUGCCAGGGCUUUUCUCCGUUGUAUUUGACAAUUUGUAUCAUGUUAAAUAUUGGCCACUAUCGGGAGACACCCGUCAGUGCAUACAUAUACAUCUGUCACUUUAGUGUUAUUUUCCUUCUAUUUGUAGCCUAUUGAUUCGUUCCAAUCCAUGUAUUUUUCUUUCCUCUGUUAUGUCCAUGGAGUUGUUCCUGAGGGUUGCUAGCAUUAGUGGAUCAUAUAGACCCUUUUUCCCCCCCCGGAUGCACGCGACUCUUGGCGCCAGUAAGAAAGCCAUCACCAUCUGCGCCCAUUCAAGCCUAGAUUUAAGGUUGUAUUACUUCUAAACAAAAUAUAAGUUCUCAUAUGCUUACAAUGAUGUUUUGAUUCUUGCUUGAACAGUAGCUAGGAUUAUAUUUGGUUGUGAGCUUUGCAAAAUAACUAUUUUGGAUGCAGCGGUUGUUAGCUAGAAUGCUAAUGCUCAUUGUUAUAGGCUGUAGCAAAAAUAUAGCCAGAGAACCAUUUUACUGGUUGAAGUUGGCCCAGCAACCUUUUUGUUACUGGCCCAACGCUCCUACCCGCCAGGCUACCUGCCUCCCCCAUUAAACAUAUUCAGUGUGUGCAAGGUAGACACACACCUGUAGAGCACAUUACGCUCCUGCAUUAGCUCCCUUGAAUGAGACAUUAGCUCCCCUGAAUGAGACAUUAGCUCCCCUGAAUGAGACAUUAGCUCCCCUGAAUGAGACAUUAGCUCCCCUGAAUGAGACAUUAGCUCCCCUGAAUGAGACAUUAGCUCCCCUGAAUGAGACAUUAGCUCCCCUGAAUGCAACAGAAGUCAAACUGGGAGAGGGAGGUCUCUAAAUAAUGCUAAUUUCACCAUUCUUCUGUUUGUUUAAAAUGUAGUGGUAAAUAUGUUUUACAGCACUAAAUAUUAAAACUUCCAUAUGAAACAAACAUCCCCACCUCUGUCAUGGUUUAAACCAUUUAUUUCUGUUUUAUUCAUAGGGAACAAUGCACAUUAAUAUUACAAUAAUGAAACAUCCAUAUAAAAUGUGCCAGGGUUAGCCAAAAGCUAAUUUGCGCCCGUAGUCCCAGGGCAGGUAAGGGCAAUUACACACUCACACCACAAAUACUCACACAACAAAAAAUACUAAAUACAAAUACAUUACAUCCAAUAACAUAUAAUUCUAACAACAACAACAAUAUCAUCAACUGUUGUCUUACAUAUGAGGAACCAUAGAUAACUCAGGUGUACAGGUUUGGAUAGAUUUUAGCUAUGUUUUCAAUU
Molecule: long non-coding RNA, 2439 nt
Filed under: Salmo salar (Atlantic salmon)
Lineage: Eukaryota; Metazoa; Chordata; Actinopteri; Salmoniformes; Salmonidae
Description: lncRNA (ENSSSAG00000111528.1)
Source: RNAcentral